This is a long non-coding RNA of Hevea brasiliensis (rubber tree), 3490 nucleotides long. RefSeq lists it as uncharacterized. Lineage: Eukaryota; Viridiplantae; Streptophyta; Magnoliopsida; Malpighiales; Euphorbiaceae. The transcript has 6 exons. The record is from RefSeq and is a predicted model, not a curated record.
GAUCUCACUCCCUCCCUCACUUUGUCUCUCUCGUCUUCCCUCCUACCGGCAAACCAGUGACACCGAUGGUGGACCACCGAACUCCAGUGUCAACCGGUAAGCUCCACGGCGGCCGGCGAAGAUCUGAUGUGUUUUGGAGGAGAGAGAGUGACACGAAUCAUCACCUUCUAAGGUCGAUUUCGAUGGCUCUUGGUAGCAGCUAGACCUGUAACUGGUGGCAAAUGACUCCUCUACCCUCUAGGUUCCUUUUCCGACCUCUCUCACUAGAUUCCAUAGAGUUUUCUGGCAAUGGAGAGAAGAGAGAGAAAAUGGGUGAUAGCAGCUUUCUAGCCAUUUUCUCAAUGAUCUGACCUUUGGAUCAAAAAUCCAAGACCACCGUUGAACUCAGAGCGACGAAACCUUUGAGAUGAAACUGGCUCCGCUCUAAUCAGACACCGUUUGAAAAAAGCGAUCAUUGGAAGAUUUAAAUUAGUUGGCGCAAUUAGAUCAGUGACAACUCGCUGGCACUUGAGAUUGAGUUCAGUCCGGUCUGGGUGUUCGGCCGGUUGUCCCAAAAAAGGAUUAUAUUUAUAGCCAUUCCUAGCAUUUUUAGACAUUUCGGAUGUAUUUCAGAUAGCAGAAUUUGUAAAGGAGGGUUUGGUCCAGUUAUAGGGGAGACUCUGCCGAAAUUUCAGUGAUCAGUACCGACUAACUUUUCUUCUUUCCAGCCGAACCAGCUGCAAUCGAGUCAACCAGUGUGUGAGUUGGAUAUCGAUUUUACUUGUAAUUUCAAUAUUAUUAAUUUAUAUUUAAGGCAUCCUCAUGUAUUCAAUUAUAUGUAUGUAUAUAAUUAGUUAAAUACUAUACAUGCUCCUUUGCUGCAUAUAUUAUUGAAUUUGUUUGUGAAUAUCGCCUUAAGAUAACUUAGAGCUCUAUGUGCGUGUUGGCGUGAGUAUGGUGUUGAUAUGGGUAUGGGCAAGAGGACGGGUAGUCACAGCUGGAGCUUGACUCGUUGGGACCCGAUCCUUUGAUAUAUGGAUAAGUCGAUGUGAGCAUGGCUUUGAGUUGAUCUCGCUGGCCCUUGCACAUAGAUUAUUAAGUGAAAGUCCGGCUUUAGUUAACCUUACUAGCAAGUAUUGGAUCAAGAAAGUUAUAUAGGAGAUCAGUUCCUAUAUAAGUAUUGAUAUGAUACAUGGAUGUGUGUGUUUUCUGAAUUAUCUUUUGUGUGAAUAUUGAUUGAAUUAUGUGAACAUAUUGUAUUUCAUACAUAGGAAUGCAUUAGAUUUAGAUAGUUAUAGAAAUUAUAUUUAAAAUCAAUAUAUUACUCUUUUAGUCAAAUGUUCAUUCCUGUUCAAAUAUUUUUCCCAGGUUAUAAGAGAAACGAGUUUAUUUUCUAGUCUAACCUGCAUUUUCCUUUGCAGGUUGUGGUGCUUCUUAGUUUAAUAGCUUUUAUUGUGCCUAUUUAUUUGUUUGUUUAUUUAUCUAUUUGUCUAAUUACUAAAACUCCACUGUGACAUUAAUUUAUAAAAAUAUUGUAUUAAUUAAUGAUAUUAAAUAGUUUGUACAUGUUGUGUUUCAGGGUUGAGUUAGACUCCCAUAGAGAGGAUUUUUUAUAGUUAUUGGAUUGGGUUGGUUCAAAUAAAUUUACAAUAUUUUAUUUUAUUUUAUCUGCAUGUUGGGCCUGGAUUUUGAUCCUGAUUAUGGGUGGGUAUACUGAGGCUUACUACUGAACUUGGGGGCUUUAGGCCGGCCCAUGUCCUAGUGCCGGUCCGGCCCUUGAAAUGUCAUGACAGCAGUGGAGAGAGGCUUUGGCCUAAGGUGGAGAAAUGACAUACAAUUCAAGAGUAAGAGAUUCUUGUCCAUUUGUGAGAGGGCUCUUGCCCAUAUAUUUGAAGACACCAUUUGUUGUGUAGCAGUUAUAGUAGUAAAUAUAUUGAGUUAUGUCUAAAGGAGACUAUAAGGAUUAACUAAUAUAUUUACUAUAAGUAAUUUGAUGUAAGGAUCUCUUUGGUAUAAUUGGGUUAAUGUGUAGUAUGAGUAGUAUAGUUUUGAACUUGUAAUAGAUUAUUUAUUAUAGAUAAUAGUGAAAGAUGGCAUGUUUGUGAAUAUAGCCCAAGGGACGACUAUGGUUCGGUGAUUAAUGAUUCCCAUAGCACUCUGAAACGUGGAUAGAAAAGUUAGGAGACUCCUGAUAGGUCCAAUGGAGCAGGAAUGCACUCUUCUAGAGAAGAGCAGACCGAUGGCGCUAGCGUGGCUCUUAGAGGUGCAUGCUCGAGUGGGUUUGGUGGAGUAAUUGGGACUCUUAGUGACACCAUAAUACUUGAGUUAAAGGAAAAAAAAAAAAAAGACUUCUAUUUGAGGGAAGUAGGCCUAGUAAGCUCAAUGUAGAAGAAAUUCACACCUAAGGGAGAGAUUGUUAGGAAUAUGUAAGUGUGAAAUUUCCACAUCGAAAAAAAAUGGAAUGAGUGAGAAACAUAUAAGUGGGAAGGACUAUAUACCCAAGGUUUUGAAUUGGAUGUGGUGUCAAGUCCAUAAGUGUGUUUUUUCAUAAAGAGCCAUCAAGAAUAUUCUCUCUAGGCACUUUGGACUCCCCGAUUUUUAACAAUUUCCUUUUUAAAAAAAUUGUUGAUAUAUAAAAAGUUGAUUUUGUUAAUUACCGUUUCUAUGCAGCCAACAGCCAAUAGUAAUGUAGCAACUGAUUUCAUCUUCAUAAUGUAAAUGGAUGAUGGUUUUCGGAAGAGUUCUUUCUCUUAAUUUGUCGAAGGGCCAACGAGUAAGCAAUGGCUCUGUAAAAUUAUAUAAAACAUCCCACACCAACGUUUGGACAAAGCUCACUUUUGCACAUAUAUGGCGCAAACUCUUCCAAUUGAUUUCAUCACAAGGUUGGCUGAAGAUCUCCUCUCAAUUCCAAAAUGAGAGGUGUUAUUGAAGCAACAAAUCUGUUCCCAUACAAAUAUGACAUUGGCAGAUAAGUCAUCAGAAAAUAGCAUAACAUUUUGGCUGCAUCAGAGUGAAGAAAUUUCAUGAUUUCAGAAUCUAAAUGUGAGACUUGAAGAUCCAAUAACGGUUCAUUCCCAACUCCUUUAAACUGCACGUCCUCGUGUAGGGGACACGGUGUUAGGUCAGGCUAGAGAACCUCAAAAGCUAACUUAAGGGUGAAGGUCUACUAACCCAUAUAACUAGCACCCAAGACCUCCUUACCAACCGAUGUGGGACUUGGAGACCCAAGAACACAUCAUUCAGGAUCAUGGACCUUGUAUGGAUUAGAUGUAUCGCAGUUUGGAGAUGUAAAGGAUACCCUUGAGACAGGGCAAACAGUGGAAAAAUUUGUGAGAAUAUAUUUCGGUUUCAAACAUGAUUUCCUGGGACUGGUUGCAGCUGUGGUUGUUGGGUUUGGAGCACUCUUUGCAUUUACAUUUGCCAGUUCCAUUAAGGUGUUUAAUUUCCAAAAUAGUUUUAUGCACUAAUUGUACUUGUGCAUUGCUGUAUAUAAACUUUAUUUAUUGCAACG